Molecule: ribosomal RNA, 429 nt
Filed under: Gemmatimonadota bacterium
Lineage: Bacteria; Pseudomonadati; Gemmatimonadota
Description: Gemmatimonadetes bacterium partial 16S ribosomal RNA
Rfam family: Bacterial small subunit ribosomal RNA
Source: RNAcentral
UAGGGAAUCUUCGGCAAUGGACGAAAGUCUGACCGAGCAACGCCGCGUGAGUGAAGAAGGUUUUCGGAUCGUAAAACUCUGUUGUUAGAGAAGAACAAGGACGUUAGUAACUGAACGUCCCCUGACGGUAUCUAACCAGAAAGCCACGGCUAACUACGUGCCAGCAGCCGCGGUAAUACGUAGGUGGCAAGCGUUGUCCGGAUUUAUUGGGCGUAAAGAGAGCGCAGGCGGUUUCUUAAGUCUGAUGUGAAAGCCCCCGGCUCAACCGGGGAGGGGCAUUGGAAACUGGGAGACUUGAGUGCAGAAGAGGAGAGUGGAAUUCCAUGUGUAGCGGUGAAAUGCGUAGAUAUAUGGAGGAACACCAGUGGCGAAGGCGGCUCUCUGGUCUGUAACUGACGCUGAGGCUCGAAAGCGUGGGGAGCAAACAGG